RNAcentral lists this long non-coding RNA (755 nucleotides) under Homo sapiens (human). Its description in RNAcentral is "HSALNT0068888". The record is from RNAcentral. Lineage: Eukaryota; Metazoa; Chordata; Mammalia; Primates; Hominidae.
GCGGUGCGCGCGAGCGGCCAGCAGAGGGCGCCAGAGAGCCAGGAGCGGCCUGCGGAGGAGCCCGCGCCGGCACCGAUUCCCAGCUCCGCGCCACGCGGACCCACCGAGCUCGCGCUCAGACGCCCCAGCUCCGCCGAGAGGCCGCUCGCGCCGGGUCCUUCCUCUUCCCCAAGUGCAGGCCGAGCCUCCGCAGCCACGGCCAGCCCUUCGGGCAGCUCCAAAGCCACUGGCAAGCCCCGAGGCAGGGAUGGCCGGCCCAGGAGGGAGGAGGACGACGUCCCUCCCUAGGAGAAGAACUGCGGCUGUUGCUGGAGGGGGGAAGCGCACAGCCCGACGACUGCGAGGACGGGGAGGACGCGCUGAGGUCAGGCAGGGAGGAGACCGGCACCCAGACAGGUGGCGACGGCAGAGGAAGGGAAAUGGGAAUCACAUGACCUGAAGGAUGAUGUAGGAACUGAACAGAAACCAUCCUUGUUUCCUGAAUCUGAACAUGGCACCCUCUUUUCACGGUGUCUGUAUCUGCUCAGUCCAGCGGCCCCUCGAAAAGAGGGAAUCUUGAUUUUCAAACUUAAAAUUUGGCCCAAAGCCCACUGCUGCCCACAAUGCCCGCCAGACACGUUCCUCUUACCUUUUAGUUUCUAUGGGAAUGCUCUCUUUGAAGAACCCAUGAAGCAGUGUCAGGCUGGUGUGAGGAUCAGCAGCAAUUUCUUUGAGGAGGAGAGCCCGUUUCAUCGCUCACAGGCCAUGUCUGAGUG